GGAGGAAAAGAAACUAACAAGGAUUCCCCUAGUAACGGCGAGUGAAGAGGGAAAAGCUCAAAUUUUGAAUCUGGCGUCUUUGACUCCCGAGUUGUAAUCUAGAGAAGUGUUUUCUGUGUCGGACCGUGCACAAGUUCCCUGGAACGGGGUGUCAUAGAGGGUGAGAAUCCCGUAUAUGGCACGGACUGCCGAUGCUCUGUGAUACACUCUCAACGAGUCGAGUUGUUUGGGAAUGCAGCUCAAAAUGGGUGGUAAAUUCCAUCUAAAGCUAAAUAUUGGCGAGAGACCGAUAGCGAACAAGUACCGUGAGGGAAAGAUGAAAAGCACUUUGGAAAGAGAGUGAAACAGUACGUGAAAUUGUUGAAAGGGAAGCGUUUGAAGUCAGUCAUAUCUGGUGGGAUUCAGCCCUGGCUUCUGCCUGGUGUACUUUCCAUCCGGUGGGUCAGCAUCAAUUUCGACCGAGGGAAAAAGGCACCGGGAAUGUGGCUGUCUUCGGGCAGUGUUAUAGCCUGGUGUUGUAUGCCUUGGUUGGGAUUGAGGAACGCAGCGCGCCUUUUGGCCAGGGGUUCGCCUCUUGACACGCGCUUAGGAUGCUGGCAUAAUGGCUUUAAGCGACCCGUCUG
RNAcentral lists this ribosomal RNA (623 nucleotides) under uncultured Sebacinales. RNAcentral describes it as "eukaryotic LSU rRNA". It matches the Rfam family "Eukaryotic large subunit ribosomal RNA", at positions 52 to 655 of the family's 3401-position model. The record is from RNAcentral. Lineage: Eukaryota; Fungi; Basidiomycota; Agaricomycetes; Sebacinales.